Myotis myotis is the source of this 249-nucleotide long non-coding RNA. RefSeq lists it as uncharacterized. The transcript has 3 exons. The record is from RefSeq and is a predicted model, not a curated record. Lineage: Eukaryota; Metazoa; Chordata; Mammalia; Chiroptera; Vespertilionidae.
UCGCUUUAUGCUGGAAAAGAUGUUGGUACUGAAGGACAAUGACAUGCAGAGGACUCUGGGCUUUGACCCUGAGCCUGUAGAGAAACUGAGGAAAUUGCAAAGAGCUUUGAGAGAGUGGAAGAGAGAGGGAAAGAUAGAGAGAAAUAUCGAUGUGAGAGAAACACACUGCACUCGCCCUGGAGCCUGCCGCCGAGGCAGUUGACUGGUGGAGUUCAGGUGUUCUAAUGUAUGAACUGUUCACAAUCGAUG